This 494-nucleotide ribosomal RNA is filed under the name uncultured bacterium. RNAcentral's name for it is "partial 16S ribosomal RNA". It matches the Rfam family "Bacterial small subunit ribosomal RNA", at positions 29 to 523 of the family's 1533-position model. The record is from RNAcentral.
AUGAACGCUAGCGGGAGGCCUAACACAUGCAAGCCGAGCGGUAGAGAUUCUUCGGGAUCUUGAGAGCGGCGUACGGGUGCGGAACACGUGUGCAACCUGCCUUUAUCUGGGGGAUAGCCUUUCGAAAGGAAGAUUAAUACCCCAUAAUAUAAGAGACGGCAUCGUUUUUUAUUGAAAACUCCGGUGGAUAGAGAUGGGCACGCGCAAGAUUAGAUAGUUGGUGAGGUAACGGCUCACCAAGUCUACGAUCUUUAGGGGGCCUGAGAGGGUGAUCCCCCACACUGGUACUGAGACACGGACCAGACUCCUACGGGAGGCAGCAGUGAGGAAUAUUGGACAAUGGGUGAGAGCCUGAUCCAGCCAUCCCGCGUGAAGGACGACGGCCCUAUGGGUUGUAAACUUCUUUUGUAUAGGGAUAAACCUACCCUCGUGAGGGUAGCUGAAGGUACUAUACGAAUAAGCACCGGCUAACUCCGUGCCAGCAGCCGCCGUAA